UCGAGGGGUAACAUAGAAGAGCUUGCUUUUCUGAUGACGACCGGCGCACGGGUGCGUAACGCGUAUGCAACCUACCCUAUACUGAGGGAUAGCCCGAAGAAAUUCGGAUUAAUACCUCAUAGUAAUUAUUAACCGCAUGGUUUUAUAAUUUAAAGAUUACGGUAUAGGAUGGGCAUGCGUCCCAUUAGCUUGAUGGUAAGGUAACGGCUUACCAUGGCAACGAUGGGUAGGGGGCCUGAGAGGGUGAUCCCCCACACUGGUACUGAGACACGGACCAGACUCC
This 283-nucleotide ribosomal RNA is filed under the name uncultured bacterium. RNAcentral's name for it is "partial 16S ribosomal RNA". It matches the Rfam family "Bacterial small subunit ribosomal RNA", at positions 62 to 339 of the family's 1533-position model. The record is from RNAcentral.